Drosophila sechellia is the source of this 795-nucleotide long non-coding RNA. RefSeq lists it as uncharacterized. The record is from RefSeq and is a predicted model, not a curated record. NCBI's taxonomy places the organism in Eukaryota, Metazoa, Arthropoda, Insecta, Diptera, Drosophilidae. The transcript has 2 exons.
CGAUUAAUUAUUAAUCAAGCCAAAAAACAACAAGCAACCGCUAAGGCAACAAUAACAAACAAGCCAGACUCACAAUUACAAUAUUUCAGCUCUCUCAGUCGCCGUCUUCAGUCCACAGUCUCCGGUCCACAGUCUACAGUCAACGCAGAGUCUUCGGUCCUCAGUCUUUAGUGUUCAGUCUUCUGUCUCAGCUGCGAAAUCUCGACUUUCUUCAAGCCUCUCUUCGAGCCAAAGCCACAGAGCUGUUACACAUUUGACUUUUCGGCGCUGCGGCAACUGGUUCGGUUUAUUUUUGGCUCUAAAUCUAAAGACUGCAGCGCUGCUAAUGCAAAUCUAAAUUGAUUGCAAAAUGCUUAGAGUCGAUCGCCGUUGCCGGAUUGUUCGGCUUGUUCGAGUUAUAGGAGCUAGAUCGUUUUGAGAUAUGUUUUGAUAAUCUGUUAAAUAUUUUUCAAAAUUUUGUUUGUUGUAUUUGUUAGUUAGGUCUUGAAACUAAUAUUCCCCAAGCCUUACUCACCAUAUCAAUCAUACGCCUCGUGUGCCCAUCUGGCAACGCUAGCUGCCCAAAUCCAUGCAGCCAACUUAAUUGAUGCCGCUGAUCGAUCUGGUUGUUGUUCUUGCCGCUGAUCCUUUCUUCCCGUAUAUUGUGUUUGCCACAGGAACACAAGUGCAACAAAACAAGCAGCCGAGGAGCAGAAAAAGCACAACAAGCUCGCUGACAACAUCGACUUCAUCGUUCGCCGUGUGUCGUGUAUUAAAACUUGUUCAUUGGAAUUUUCUAAUAAAUCAAUAAACGCA